Molecule: ribosomal RNA, 207 nt
Filed under: uncultured bacterium
Lineage: Bacteria
Description: partial 16S ribosomal RNA
Rfam family: Bacterial small subunit ribosomal RNA
Source: RNAcentral
CGCGUAGGCGGUGUAGCAAGUCCAAUGUGAAAGCCCACAGCUCAACUGUGGAACUGCAUAGGAAACUGCUACGCUAGAGUAUGGGAGAGGAGAGUGGAAUUCCCAGUGUAGAGGUGAAAUUCGUAGAUAUUGGGAGGAACACCGGUGGCGAAGGCGGCUCUCUGGACCAUUACUGACGCUGAGGCGCGAAAGCUAGGGGAGCAAACG